Long non-coding RNA from Callithrix jacchus (white-tufted-ear marmoset), 3621 nucleotides. NCBI's taxonomy places the organism in Eukaryota, Metazoa, Chordata, Mammalia, Primates, Cebidae. The record is from Ensembl.
GCUGCGGCAAGCUUGACCUGCAGCGAGGACACCAGGAUUUCUCAAUUUCUCCAAAUCCAAGCCCGAGCCCGAGCUCUGAUGGGCCCUGGCACUGCUUCCCGCCACCUGCCUUCUCCUCCAGCUCGCGCCCUGAGUGACCACGGCCCCAGCCUCCGCCCCUCGACGCCGUCUCCAGGGCGCUGGACGCCAGGCGGGCAGCGGGCUCGGGAUGCGGAGAGUGAGCGCGAUUUCAGGGCAAGUUACUGUUUUCAGAAUCCAAGUGAAAUCUAACACUAUAAAACAAUGCCAAGAGCAAACGAAGGAAAGCAAAGAUCUGAAGGGGCACCCUGCCCAUCGUUUUGAUUCUUCAAGUUUCUGAAAACGUAUGAGAAGCACUGUGUGCAGUCUCAGCCAUCCAUGUGUCCAGCUGUCAAAAGGGACCUGAAAAGCAGCAUUGACAGUGACCAGGUGCUCAGGAAGUUUAUGCUUGUAAGACCUGAUGACUCCCCACCAAGAAUCCCACCAGUUUCCCUGGAACCUUUGCUCACAAUUCAAGAUGAGUGUUACACACUGGAGAAAGAGAUCUGCAUCUGUGGCCUUCAACUGAGCGACUCAGAGAUUGCCAGACUUGAAGUGACCCGGCUAUGGGCCCUCUGCACAGGAAACUGUGGGAACUUGGGCUGGGCUCAUGUGUUGACUCCAAUCCAGAUGCUUCCAUCUGAGGAGCUCCUAGUUGCUGAAUCUGCACAGUCCAGUUCUCAGUGGACCUCCAACUCCUAAUCAUAUUUAGGGCUAUGGCCGGGCGAGGUGUAAGUGCUCCAAGGGACAUGGAUGAAUCUGGAGAACGUCAUCCUCAGCAAACUGACACAAGAACAGAAAAUGAAACACCGCAUAUUCUCACUCAUAGGCGGGUGAUGAAAAAUGAGAACACAUGGACACAGAAAGGGGAGUACUAAACACUGGGGUCUAUUGGGGGGAAAGGGGGAGAGCCAGGGGGAGGGGGAGGUGGGGAGGGUUAGCCUGGGGAGAAAUGCCAAAUGUGGGUGAAGGGGAGAAGGAAAGCAAAGCACACUGCCAUGUGUGUACCUACGCAACUGUCUUGCAUGCUCUGCUCAUGUACCCCAAAACCUAAAAUCCAAUAAAAAAAAAAAAAGAUUCUAUUUGAUCCACUAAAGGGAAUAAUAUAACAGAUUUUAUGUUUAAAUGUUACUAUUUGCCAUAUUCCAAAAAUCUCUUUUGAAAAUUCAAAAGUGAUGAUGAAAAACUUAGAUACCAACCUAAGAAUGUGCAAGAUGGUACAUAAACUUUUUAAUAUUCCUCUAGGAUGUUAUAAGAGCAAAAAUGUUUGCGACCACUGCUCUGUGAGGCUGAAUGUUUGAUCUCCUGUUCUGUGAGCUACGCCCAGGCCUCCUGGUAACUCUUCCUUCUGGUCAGAGUCAGGCACAGUGGCUUUCAGCUGAUGACAACCAAAGAGCCCACAUGCCUUAGGACCCAGUGACAAGUUUGUUUUCUUAAUCUUAAUUACUUGUUAUGCUGCAUAAAUACAAUUUUAUUUGUUUUUUUUUUCUUUGUUUGUUUGAGACAGAGUCUCAUUUUUCACCCAAGCUGGAGUGCAGUGGGGCAAUCUCAGCUUACUGCAACCUCUACCUCCCGGGUUCAAGUGAUUCUCCAGCCUCAGCCUCCCAAGUAGCUGGGAUUAUAGGCAUGUGCCAUCGUGCCUGGCUAAUGUUUAUGUUUUUUAGUGGAGACGGGCUUUUGCCAUGUUAGGCUGGCUGGUCUUGAACUCAUGACCUCAAGUGAUCCGCCCGUCUCAGCCUCCCAAAGUGCUGAGAUUACAGGCUUAAGCCACUGUGCUCAGCCUAAAAUACUUUUUAAUAUAAGAUUUUGCAGAAUAAGUAGAAUUGAAAUCUAAGCAUAAUGUCCAUUUUUACAUUAUUCCCUUUUCUUCUUGUGGGCAGGAAAGGGUGAGAGUGGGCAGGAAAGGGUGAGGGUGGGCAGGAAAGGGUGAGGGUGGGCAGGAAAGGGUGAGGGUGGGCAGGGAGGCCUGUCGGGUGACCAUUGUCCUCUAGGAGAGAGCUGUCCACCCAGGUGAGAUGAAGGCAUUAGCAGGGAAGGCAGUGAGAAGCAGUCAGACUCUGCAUUAUCCCGCUUCCUAACGGAUUGGAUGUAGGGUACAAGGGAAAGGAAGAGUCUAGAAUGACUCCAGAGUGAUACAUUAUAAUAUGUAGCUUUAAACAUGCCAACAAAGGGUUCCUCCCUGCUACAUUCUUUCUAAUUCCAGGGCUUUGGGGUCACUUUUAAAGAAGGCAGCUUUGGAAUGUAAAGAAGUAACACAAGGCUGGCAGGAUGGUUCCUGGGCUCUAAUUGGUUGCAUGUUCAUCCUGAGACUUUAAGGAAAGAAACACAAAAGCCACAGGACCGAGCUGGCUGUGGUGGCUCACACCCGUAAUCCCGGCACUUUGGGAGGCCAAGGCAGGCAGAUCGCUUAAGGUCAGGAGUUUAAGACCAGCCUGGCCAACAUGGUGAAAGCCUGUCUCUACUAAAAAUAUAAAAACUUACCCAGGUCAGGUAGUGCAUACCUGUAAUCCCAGCUACUCGGGAGGCUGAGGUGGGAAGAUCACUUGAAACCGGAAGGCAGAGGUUGCAGUGAGCAGAGAUGGCACCAUUGCACUCCAGCCUGGGCGAUGAGUGAGACUUCAUCUCAAAAAAGACAAAACCACGGGACUGAACUGAAGUGAAUGUGAUCUUGACAAGAGGUCAGAUCAUUCUCUCUGGUGAGAAAUAUCUCUGGGUAAAGUGAACAUAAAAUAAAGGCCACAACCAGCAUCAAGGUGUGUCAGAAACCCAUUCAUUUGACUUUAAACAGGCUGCUUUUUAAAAAAUCUUUUUUUUUCCAACCAGCCAAACAGAGAGGAAGUUCAACUAUGAACGAGAUUACAAAAUCGUCUGAAGCUGUAACAGUGAAAACUACUUCAGGGAAGAAAAAGAAUAACAAAGGUAUUUUUGUUGUUUCAACUAUUCCUUCCACUUCCCUCAUCUUCUAAGUCACUUCCUCCUUUCAGGAGCUGUGUGUUCCAAUACUAAGUAGUUGCACCAAACAGAGAAAAACACAAGUGGAGAAAAAAAGAACACUCAGUGUCUUGUGACUUUCAUGUAAACCAAACACCAAAUGGCUUUGCCACAGCCAUUAGAGGAAUUCAUCCUUGACAGGUUCAACAUUCCCCCUAAAAAAUAGUAAUGGGGCCUAAGCUGGUUUGGGAGUAAUCUCAGCAAUGAACAGCCUGUGGGAUCUGGGCAGUUCAGCUCACAGACUUUCAUCCUAUGACUCUUGCUUAGAAUCAGCAACUGUGUAAUCCAGAAGGAAUUUUAAGAAAUCAGCGACUCUAUAACCUCUGAACUGGGUUAGACUAAAUAAGAAGCUAAGUAUUAAAGAUGGCAGCUAAGUGUUAGGCACCCGGAUUCUAUUCCUGACACUUCCACUCACGCAUGGCUCUCAGAAUCCUCUUCUGCAAAAGGAGAACUUUUCACUCAUGGGAUCCUAAAUUCCACCCCAGCUUUACCAUUCUGAAAUUCUAAAGAGACGUUGUAAGAUUUUCACCGCAUGGUCGUGAACACAGUCUUUGGGAAACUGCUUGUGGAGGC